UCCCGCGGCAUCGGUGUUCGUUAGGGAGGUGGAAGCGUGUCCAAACCCGAAUGGGGCGUCAAGCGGACCUGCACAA
Molecule: transfer RNA, 76 nt
Filed under: Pararhodospirillum photometricum DSM 122
Lineage: Bacteria; Pseudomonadati; Pseudomonadota; Alphaproteobacteria; Rhodospirillales; Rhodospirillaceae
Description: tRNA-Ala
Source: RNAcentral